This is an RNA transcript of Dendrobium catenatum, 990 nucleotides long. It is a transcript of the gene named mitochondrial inner membrane protease subunit 1-like, with no coding region annotated. Lineage: Eukaryota; Viridiplantae; Streptophyta; Magnoliopsida; Asparagales; Orchidaceae. The record is from RefSeq and is a predicted model, not a curated record. The transcript is spliced from 5 exons.
AGGCCUUUUGUAGGCUUGGGCUAGGCCUGUGAGAGCAGCGGGAAGACAUCACAGCCGUUCGAUUAGCCCGCGACGGUUCUGGUUGUCACGCUCGACUCCGCCGGACAUCUUCCUCUCCCGAAGUCGAUGGCGGCGGGUCGCUUCUCGUCCCUUUUCCGCCGUGCCGCUACCGUUCCGUGGAGUAGCAUCGCUGGAGAAGCCUUCGAUCGCGUCGUCCUCGUGGCCAAGACCGUUUGCUUCGUCCAUGUUAUCAAUAACUACGUUUGCAGCAUCGCUCUGGUUCGAGGUCCGAGCAUGCUGCCGACCAUUAACAUAACGGGAGAUAUUGUGGCAGUGGAGCGGAUCAGCCCUCGCUGGAGCCUGAUUUCCGUGGGUGACAUUAUACUACUCCGUUCGCCGGAGAACCCAAUGAAGACCGUCACGAAGAGGGUGCUUGGCCUUGAGGGCGAUACCGUCACAUUCCUAGUUGAUCCCGCCAAGGGGUUCUCGUCUAAGACUGUUUUGGUGCCGAAGGGGCAUGUUUGGGUGCAGGGAGAUAACAUUUAUGAAUCUAGGGAUUCAAGGCAAUUUGGACCGGUGCCUUAUGGACUGAUACAAGGGAGGGCAUUUUGUAGGGUUUGGCCACCUGAAAGUUUUGGUUCCAUUGGGUAAAAGAUGUAAAUUUCGUUGAGGCAUGCAAGAAGGCUAUGUCUCUAUCGUAAUCUUCUGAAAUUGACUCCGAUGCACAAGUGCAUGGGAUAGGGGGAACUGAAACUAUGGGAUAUUGAUUUUUUUUUUUGGUACUUCUAAAAAAAAAAAUUUGUGAUUUUUUUAAUAAUUUAUGAUUAUGAAAACCAAUUUCAUUUCUUAUAAUCCAUCUUGUAUUUUCUAUACUUAGAAUUCUCACCCUUAUAGUUCUUUUGGGUUCUUCUUCUUGUGAAAAUAGAUGGGAUUCGUGCAUAACUUGCUAUGUGGACACUUUUAUUCGAAUUUGAUCUAUUUUGUGGAUCA